Molecule: long non-coding RNA, 881 nt
Organism: Carya illinoinensis
Lineage: Eukaryota; Viridiplantae; Streptophyta; Magnoliopsida; Fagales; Juglandaceae
Exons: 2
Source: RefSeq, a predicted model, not a curated record
UCUGCACCACUUCCACACACUUGGUCAUUGUCCUUAGGGUAAUAAUUAAUCAUACACACAGCUGCACACCUACUUGAAAGGAUGCAUGCAAACACUUCAAGUCACCGAGAAUAUGCAUCUCCAAGUCCAUCGUUACUUUGCAAACCAAGCCUUAUAACCUCACACUUCCUUCCUCUCUUCAUCCCACGACAUCACCAAGUAUAAUACAAGUUCUUGUGAGCCAAGUGAUCCUUUGAGAAAUAGUGAAACCGAGAAGUUAGCGUAAGCACCCUUGGAGAUUCGGUUCUUGCGUGCAUGAAAAAUUCGGUUCGGGAAAAGUAUGGUGGAAGGCGAUUUGUUGCUCUCUGGAUCUGGCAACCACCACACAUGCAGAGCAGAACAAUGCGUGAGCCACACAUGCAGUCCAAAGAGGGCAUGUGAAACCCACGCGCCUCCUUUAGAGGUGCUCUUUUACCUUCAUGCGCGACUAUUCUGGGUCCAGGGUCAACGGUUACUUCAAAUCUGAUUGUCCUCCAUACUCCUAGGUGGCGCGUGGCUCUCACGCGCCAUCAUAGUUGUUCGUUUUUUUUUAUGCUCCUCCAAGGUUGAAGAAACGGAUCUACAACUUUUCAAGCUGUAGUUCAUUAUUUUCCCAUGUAUUUUUAAUUUUUGUAAUGUCUUUUGUUUUAGAAAAUAAAAAAAUAAAAAAAAGAACACAUUGUCGCUUGGACAUAUUUCCAUAGAGUGUGUCAUCUACUCUGUUUUAGAUGGAGUAUGAGGUUUGUUUCACUUUGUCUUGGACAAAGUUAUGUUGUCUCUCAGACUAUGAGUUUGUAGAGAUAUGCAGCUUGGACUAGACCAUGCCAGUACUAUUAUAUACUGGAGAGCUAUUAAUGUUGUAA